AGAUUAGAAUUAUUUAGUAUUUUAUUACCAGGAUUGUAGUUGGUUUUUCCAAUUGAAAAUUCUUUGUGUUUCCUAGUUGCAUUUUAGAAGGUACCAUCUGUAUGUCACUAUGUUGUGCCGAUGUAGGCUCGCAGAAAAAAUUAUGGAAGCUGGUCUCAAGAGAUUGGGGAUAUUGCAUCUCAGAUUGGCCAGCUUUAUUCUGGACAGUACAUGAGGACAAGCGAGGCCAACUAUUUGUCUGAGUCUUAUAUCUUUUAUGAGGCAGUGUUGAAUAGGGAGUAUUUUAAAGAUGGAAUGUUUCAGGAUGUUAGUUUUGCUAGCAAGCAACUUCGAUUUCUUGCUCGGUUUAUGACAGUUUGUUUGGUUUUGAAUCGGUGAGACAUGGUUUAUCAAUUAGUUAAUCAGCUCAAGAUGUUACUUGAUGAAUGCAAGAGGGCAUUCCAGGAAACUGAUUUUAAAGAAUGGAAGCUGGUGGUUCAGGAAAUUGUUAAGUUUCUAAAAGCUGACUCGGCUUUUUAUGAAUACCAGGCCAUUGAGAUGUAGUGUCGUAUUGGAUCUUCAUCCAGAUUGCCUGCCACAAGUUGUUGAAGCAAAGAGAAAGCUAAGAUUACGAGAUACACUACUGUGCAGCUACCAUCCCAAUGAGGUUAAAUAUUCAGAACUGACUCUUGACACUUUCUGAAUGCUACAAUGUCUGGAGUGGGAACCUAGUGGGUCAUUUUAUCAGACGGGUGGGAUUCCUCCAAGUGGGGCUGGAACUGGUAUUGGCCAGAAUGGGGCACCCGGACCCAGUCGUGUUAAUUAUUCACAAGAUAUAUCUGAUCCUACUCUGCCUCCUAACCCUCGCAAGUCCAUCCUAUAUCGCCCGUCUAUUACAAAUUUUUUAGCAGUUUUGUCGACAAUCUGCGAGGAGCUAUCUCAUGAUGGAGUUCUUUUACUAUAUUUGUCUGCAUGCAGAUUAUAAAAAAUGGUGCAGUACAACUUUAAGAAGAUUACGGUGGUUCCCAAUGGGAAGGACUUUGUCAAUAUCAUUAUGUCUCGCACACAGCGUCAAACUCCUACUGUUUGUCCACAAAGGAUAUGCUAUCUCUCGUAUACGUCAAUUUUACAUGCGCACAGUUAAGUAUACACAGCAGAAUUUCUAUGACAAACUCUCCACCAUUAUUGAUGAGUUCCCCAGGCUUGACGAUAUCCAUCCUUUCUAUGGAGACCUUCUUCAUGUACUCUACAACAAAGAUCACUACAAGCCCUUGGCCAAAUUAAUACUGCUAGAAAUUUGAUUUCAAAAAUUGCUAAAGAUUAUGUGAAAUUGCUGAAGUAUGGCGACUCACUCUAUCGCUGCAAGUCCCUGAAGGUUGCUGCUCUUGGGCGCAUGUGCACUGUUAUAAAGCGCAUUUGCCCAAGUUUAGCUUAUUUAGAACAGAUUAGGCAGCACAUGGCAAGACUUCCCUCAAUUGAUCCCAAUACUAGGACAAUCUUGAUUUGUGGGUAUCCAAAUGUUGGAAAGAGCUCAUUCAUCAACAAAAUUACAAGAGCAGAUGUGGAUGUGCAGCCUUAUGCUUUCACUACAAAGUCCUUGUUUGUCGGUCAUAUUGACUACAAAUAUCUGAGGUAUCAAGUGAUCGACGCUUCUGGUAUUCUGGAUAGGCCAUUUGAGGAUCGUAAUAUCAUUGAGAUGUGCAGUAUUACAGCUCUAGCACAUCUGAGGGCUGCUGUGUUGUUUUUCCUUGAUAUUUCUGGGUCUUGUGGCUAUAGCAUUGAGCAGCAGGCUGCUCUUUUCCACAGCAUCAAAUCACUCUUUAUGAACAAACCCUUGAUGAUCGUGUGCAACAAAACAGACUUGCAGCCGUUAGAAGGGAUUUCUGAGGAAGACAAGAAGUUAGUCGCAGAGAUGAAAGAUGAAGCCAUGAAGACAGUGAUGGGUCAAGGUGGCGAGGCAACUGAUGAAGCAGGUGUGUUGUUAACUACGAGCAAGUUGACGGAAGAUGGCGUGAUUUCAGUGAAGAAUGCAGCUUGUGAGAGGUUACUGAAUCAAAGGGUAGAAUUGAAAAUAAAGUCGAAAAAGUUGAAUGACUGCUUGAACCGCUUCCAUGUUGCUAUGCCAAAACCACGUGACCAGAAAGAGAGGCCAGUAUGCAUACCUCAGGCAGUGUUGGAAGCCAGAGCUAAGGAAGCUGAGGCAGAUGCUGAGAAACAGAAAAGGAAAUUUGAGAGAGAUCUGGAGAAUGAGAACGGAGGUGCAGGUGUUUACUCUGCCAGCUUGAGGAAGCACUAUCUAUUAGCAAAUGAAGAGUGGAAGGAAGAUGUAAUGCCAGAAAUUUUAGAUGGGCACAAUGUCUAUGACUUUAUUGACCCUGAUAUCUUACAAAGGCUUGAAGAAUUGGAGAGAGAAGAAGGUCUUCGUCAGGAUGAAGAAGGAGAUGAUGAUUUUGAGAUGGAUGGCGUUGAGCUGACCCCUGAAGAACAAGCAGCAUUAGCUGAAAGCCGGAAACAGAAGAGUUUGCUCAUUCAACAGCAUAGAAUUAAGAAAAGCACUGCAGAGAGCCGACCCACUGUACCAAGAAAGUUUGACAAAGACAAGGAGUUCACUUCAAAAAGAAUGGGAAGGCAGUAUCUGCUUUGGGGCUGGAUCCAACUCUAGCAAUCAAUUGAGCCCGUAGUAAAUCAAGGGAUCGUAAGCGAGAGAGAUCAGUUGAACGUGGAGAUGACAUUGGUAAGGAUGCAAUGGAUGUCGACGAGAUUACUCCCAACAAGAAGCAAAGAUUGAGGUCACUUUCCAUUACGGCAAGAUCAAGGUCAAGGUCAAGGUCACGACCUCCAGAUGAAUUUGUUCCAGGGGAGGGCUUAAAGGACAAAGCCCAGAAGAAGAUGGCUGUAAAGAUGGCUAAGGGUUCUUCUAAGAAGAGGAACAAGGAUGCUCGGCGGGGAGAGGCUGAUAGAGUUAUUCCUACUCUGAAACCAAAACAUCUCUUCUCAGGAAAGCGAUCAACUGGGAAAACUGACCGGCGCUAGUAAACCAAGAUGGCAUUUUAUCUUGGAAUUUGCUGAUGGUACCUGUCAAGAUGCUUGUGUUGCAAUAUCUUGGGUGGCGGACAGAAAGGCUGAAAGAAACUCAGCUUAUUUAGGACACUUUCGCAGUUGAAUUUUCCGUCUCUGUUAUUUCGAGCUUUCCUUGCUGUUUAUUUAAGCUAUUUUUCAUACUGUUUUUUAACUUUAAAUUGUUGAAGAAUGUUAGUUUUUUUUGUAAAACAAAGAUGUGAGGAAGAUGUCAAGAAUUCAAUCUAUUGAAAUGACAAGACCAAGACUACAGAUU
Nicotiana attenuata is the source of this 3313-nucleotide RNA transcript. It is a transcript of the gene named nucleolar GTP-binding protein 1-like, with no coding region annotated. NCBI's taxonomy places the organism in Eukaryota, Viridiplantae, Streptophyta, Magnoliopsida, Solanales, Solanaceae. The transcript is spliced from 7 exons. The record is from RefSeq and is a predicted model, not a curated record.